GUGGGGAAUAUUGGACAAUGGACCAAGAGUCUGAUCCAGCAAUUCUGUGUGCACGAUGAAGUUUUUCGGAAUGUAAAGUGCUUUCAGUUGGGAAGAAGAAAGUGACGGUACCAACAGAAGAAGCGACGGCUAAAUACGUGCCAGCAGCCGCGGUAAUACGUAUGUCGCAAGCGUUAUCCGGAUUUAUUGGGCGUAAAGCGCGUCUAGGCGGCAUAGUAAGUCUGAUGUGAAAAUGCGGGGCUCAACUCCGUAUUGCGUUGGAAACUGCUAUGCUAGAGUACUGGAGAGGUAAGCGGAACUACAAGUGUAGAGGUGAAAUUCGUAGAUAUUUGUAGGAAUGCCGAUGGGGAAGCCAGCUUACUGGACAGAUACUGACGCUAAAGCGCGAAAGCGUGGGUAGCAAACAGG
Molecule: ribosomal RNA, 408 nt
Filed under: uncultured rumen bacterium
Lineage: Bacteria
Description: bacterial SSU rRNA
Rfam family: Bacterial small subunit ribosomal RNA
Source: RNAcentral